UACGGGGGGGGCAAGCGUUGUUCGGAAUUACUGGGCGUAAAGGGCUUGUAGGCGGCCAACUAAGUCCGACGUGAAAUCCCCAGGCUUAACCUGGGAACUGCGUCGGAUACUGGAUGGCUUGAAUUCGGGAGAGGGAUGCAGAAUUCCAGGUGUAGCGGUGAAAUGCGUAGAUAUCUGGAGGAACACCGGUGGCGAAGGCGGCAUCCUGGACCGGUAUUGACACUGAGGCGCGAAAGCCAGGGGAGCAAACGGG
RNAcentral lists this ribosomal RNA (253 nucleotides) under uncultured bacterium. RNAcentral describes it as "partial 16S ribosomal RNA". It matches the Rfam family "Bacterial small subunit ribosomal RNA", at positions 524 to 776 of the family's 1533-position model. The record is from RNAcentral.